RNAcentral lists this long non-coding RNA (4362 nucleotides) under Equus asinus (donkey). Its description in RNAcentral is "lncRNA (ENSEASG00005024163.1)". The record is from RNAcentral. Lineage: Eukaryota; Metazoa; Chordata; Mammalia; Perissodactyla; Equidae.
UUUAUUAAUAGAUUUUUUCACCAUUUAUCUCUGAGGAUCUUACACAUAGGUAUUUUAAAGUCCUUUUUAGAAUUAAGUGCAGCAAUUUCAUGCUGAUUUUGUAGUUUGGCUUUUCUCGUGUGAUUUUUCUCUUGAGGUUGGGUCCAGGUCUUCCCAGCUCCUUAGGCCCGAGCUUCCUACGAGCCAUAGUUGUAGGCAGUGUUUGGGAGUGUAGCUUUGUUUUAGUCAUCUUUCACAAGUCAGAAAACUCUCCCUAAGUCCCUGGUUUUAAGAAGGGACCCUGGAUCCUGUAUUCUGCCCUCAGGGAGGGUGUAUUUAUUCUCUACUACACCCAGGAGGAAGCUCUGCUUUUCUUCCAGGCAUUGAACCAACAAAGCUGGUGCCCAAGUCAUCAUCUUGCAGUUUUUUCCGUUCUCAUAGCAAGGAAGGAUUUAUCUUAUUCUUUAGCUUGGCUUUGCCUUUUUAUUUAUUUAUUUUUAAGUACUUUAUGUUUCAUUGCUAUUUGUUCAGACAGGGAGGAAGUGGCCCUCAAGAAAUGAAUUUACAAGUUUAUAUUAACACUGAGGUCCCCUGUUGGUCAUUAGAUCAGAAACAGUGUUUUAUUUUGUUUUACUUUUUUUUUUCUUUUUUGGGGAAGGGGAAGACGUGAGGAAGAUUGGCCCUGAGCCAACAUCUGUUGCCAAUCUUCCUCUUUUUGCUUGAGGAAGAUUGCUGGUGAGCUAACAUCUGUGCCAAUCUUCCUCUACUUUAUGUGGGAUGCCACCACAGCAUGGCUCAAUGAGCAGUGCCAGGCCUGCACCAUGGAUCUGAACCCAUGAACCCCGGGCUUCGGAACCCAACCACUACACCACCGAGUUGGCCCCUUGUUUUACAUUUUUAAGUUAUGUCUAACACUCAAGUUGUUUUCAGUUAUGUGGAGCCCUUUGACAGGAAUCAAGAGAGAAGAACAGAGACUAUGAGGUUUCCCAUGUGGUCCUGAGUUUUAUUAUAGUGGUGAAUCUAGAUCCACACAGAUCGGGGAAUAAAUACUAUUUUUUCCAUAAUGGUAGAAACAAGUGGUUUAAUCUCUUUGAGCCCUGGUUUCCCCAUCUAUAACAUGGGAAAAUUGUUUCAACAUUUUUGUUUUUUUUAAGGAUUAAAUAGAGUGUAUAUGAAGUAUAUACCACAGUGACUGGCUCUGUAUCUUCACGGAGAGUAACAAAAAACCAACUCAGAUGCUUAAGCAAAAUGUAAAUUGACUGGCAUAUUUUACCGGAAGUUCAGAGAUAGGGUGGGUUUACAGACUAACCUAAUCCAGUGUCUCCAGUCGUGAUCCUUGUGAUUCUCCUGGAUGUACACUCUUCAUAUAUCUACUUCUUGUAUAAAUGUUACUAUAUCUCCUCGUCAGACUGAUAGUGACAAGGUGCCCACAACUAGUCUGGACCUGUCUGCAUAAACAACAUCCAGAAGAGACAAGUUAUGUCAGAGGAAGAGGGCAUGCUGAUUGGCAAAAUCCACAAGCCCCAUUCUUUGAGCUUGGGGUAGGAUGAGGCUCCCCUGAAUUACAAAGGAUGUAAGUGGGAGGAGCACUUGUGUUAAGAGGGUGAAAGUGGUCUCUGGGUAGGAGUGCCAGGAUGUUUUUGGGUACCCAGCUCAAACUGGUGUAAACAAUAGAAACAUGUAUUACUUCAUAUGACAGGCAGUCCAAAGGUAUGGCUCAGCUCACAAGAGUCAAUUGUUGGAUACUCAAGAAUUUUGUAAGUCAGUUGUUAAACUGUUGGUAGCUUGAUAGUGUCAUGGUCAGAGCAAUUACUUUGCUUAGAGAAUGCUGACUUUGUAUUUUUAAAGUAGAAGGAAUCAGUUUCUUCAGUCAAGUGAACGUAAGGGGACUUUUGCAGGUAUUGCUUCCAGCCUUUAAAGUCCUACAUUUAAUUUCUAGCCACCAAGCUAUGCUUCUGUCUGGAGACAUUUACCAUCAAUAAAGUUAAGACCACUCUCCAUCUUCUUUUCUUCCAUAAGAAUGCUUUAAGGGAGCGAUUGACUUCCUGGCACCAAUAGUAGUCAUUUUUUAGUUGUUUUUUACUGAGAGGACAUAAAUCUUGCUGGUAACGUCAGCCCCCUUGGAAGAUGCCUCCAGUCAUCAACUGUCAGCUCCUAUGGGAGCCACAAACCCAGAAACAUGGAAGCUAGGUACCUGGGUGCUGCCAAACCAGGAGAGUACAGACUCCCUUCUUUCCAUCCUACUCUCCCUCACCUCCUCAACUCCCUCCUCCUCGUCCCCCUCUCCCACAGGACCAGUGUGAAGUCAUGUCUCUCGUGCCCUCCACUCUCUUCAACUCCAUCUCUCCUUCCUUUUUCUUCUCUUUUUCUCCACCUCAUGCUUCUGUUGUGUACUUUCCUUCUCUCUCUCUUUCGAAUUUUCUUAGGAAGGGAGGCCUUGGUGAGAGGGAGUGUGAUUCUUCCUCCUCUCCACAUCCAGUGUGUCACCAGGUCCUGUUGAUUUGACUUCCUAAAUACUCUUGAAUCCAUCCAGUUUUGUCUGUGCAUUCAAGACCGUUACCCUGUUCCUGGCCACAUGCUCACCUUGGAUUAUUGCAGCAGCUUCUUAACUGGUCUUGUUUUCACUCUUGUGCCUCCAAUCCACACUCCAGACAGCAGCCAGCAUGAUCUUUCUCAAUGGAAAAUUUGAUUAUGUUGCUUCCCUGCUUAAAAUCCUCCCAUGGCUUCCUAUGCUCUUAGAGUAGAGUCUACACUGGGUUUAUAAGGCCCUCUGAGACCUGGGCAUAUGCACCUUUCUAGUUCCCUUUCUGAACACUUUUCCCUCUCCCACUCUAAAGCCCCAGCCAUGUCAAACCACUUUUUGUCCCUCAAAGCUGCUCGGCUAUCCUUCCUUGCCUCCGAGUUUUUCUCUUCUUGCUUCUUCCUCCCAUUUUGACUUGCUACCACCAAUUUAUCCUUGAGGUCUCAGCUUUAAAUAUCACUUUUUAUGGAAUUCGUAUCCUGAUGCUGUCUAAACCAUACACCUCUGACGUGUUCACAUACAAUGCCAUUUUAUAGAUAGUUGUUUAACUGUCUCUCCCUUGCUAAAAUCAGGAAAUCAUGAUUAACACAGAGUAGGUAUUCUUUCAAUCAACAUUUCUUAAGCGAAUCCAUUAAUGAAGGAAUAAAUGUAUGCCCAAGUCAUUUGUGUGUCUUUGUGACCAGCAUUUGGUAGGAGUUAUAGUGAAUGCUAGAAAGGCUGAUCUUUUUUCUUAAAAAAUGAUCAUGUUGUUAAAUUAUCAGAGUAUCCAAAGCCCUUCAAGAUUCUUCCCCUCCCUCUGUGUCAUUCCAACCCUCUUUCUCACUGCUUCCUCAAUGCCCCCCACCUUCUUGUUUCUAACACCAUUACACUCAGUAGAAAUCUUGCCCUGACUGCUUGUAUGUACCCUGUGCUCCCCACCAAAAAGAACAUCUAGCCAAAUUCCACCCCUCCUCAAAGGCCCAGGGAAAGAACUCCUUCAAGAGGCCCUCACUAAGUCUCUGUAAGCCUCAAUUCUCUUCUGAAGUCAUCCGUGACUGCCUUUAGGAACACCCCUGGCAUUCCAGCAAGCACCUUAUACUACUUGAUUUGUCAUGUGUAUGUUGAUAUGUCGUGUAUAUCUUGUCCCCCUAUAUACGCUGUAAGGUCCUUCAGGGCAAGAAACAAACCAAAAAGAAGUGAUUAAGAGGACCAGCUCUGAAGACAGUGCAUUUGGAUCUCUGCCAUCCCUUGAUUUGAGAGCUUGCCACCUUGGGCAAGUCACUUAACCUCUCUGAGCCUCAGUUUCCUGACUUCUAGAAGAGAGAUGAUAAUAAUAAUAUCUUCCAUGUAGUUUUGCUCUGAGGAUUAAAUGAGAUACUCCCACUGGAGUACCUGGAAGGCGGCUGACACAUGCAUUAUUCGUAAUAUCCAAGAUGUGGAAGCAACCCAAGUGCCCAGCUACAGAUGAAUGGAUAAAGAAGAUGUGGUAUAUAUACACAAUGGAAUACUACUCGGCCAUAAGAAAUGAUGAAAUUGUGCCAUUUGUGACAACGUGGAUGGACCCUGAGAGUAUUAUGCUAAGUGAAAUAAGUCAGACAGAGAAAGCCAAAUACCAUAUGAUUUCACUCAUAUGUGGAAGAUAAACAAACACCUGGAUAAGAAGAACAGAUUAGUGGUUACCAGAGGAAAAGGGGGUGGAGGGAGGGUGGAAGGGGUAGAGGGGCGCAUGUGUAUGGUGAUGGAUAAAAACUAGACUAUUGGUGGUGAACACGAUGCAGUCUAUACAGAAACUGAAAUAUAAUAUUGUACACCUGAAAUUUACACAAUGUUAAAAGCCAAUAUGACCUCAAUAAAAAAAAAUGGAGUAAAAAAAUACAAGUAUG